GUAAGCUCCCCCUCUAGUGUUCACUGCUCAUCAGAUUAUUCCUCCAACAAAUAAGACAGAGAACUGCCUGUUUUUUUGGUUCCCUAUCGAAGGACGGAGCUUGGAACAACAUUUAUAACGGUUUAAUGACACAAAGAGUAAAAGGUGCUGCAGCCCAUCCAUCUGCUGAAUGUUGCCAAGUAACAGCCAUCCAUGGAACAUGGAAAAAUGAAUUCACCCGGCCAGGCCCAAAUUGUCGACCCACAGAACAUGAGCAGAUGCAGAAGCUCUAACCAAGGAUUCCUAGAGAGAAAGAGUAGAGCCAUGAGACGAAGGGAGCCUGGGUCCCUAAAUCACCAUGUCGGAGCUCUUCAGCGAAAAGCUGACGCUGAGCUGCUACGUGAGCAAGAGACACCUUGCCCAAUCUGAAACGAAGCCAAGCAAAGCAACAUCACCUUCUGGAAAGUGCAGAAACUGCAAUCAAGAUCAACAAAGAAAAGCACCCUUCCCAUAGAUUCAUCUCUUUGGCGUUUAAGUGUUUGGGCGAGUCUACAAAACUCAGAUUCCUCAUUUAACUAGAUGUUCCAGGUCACAGAGAUAUUCUACUAAGGCAAUUUUCAAAAGACCAUAAAACCACCACAUCAAUUUAUGCUUGCAGGCUAUAGUGCAGUAAUAUCAUCAUGGCUCACUGCAAUCUCGACUUCUCCAGCUCAAACAAUCCUCCCACCUCAGCCUCCCAAGCAGUUGGGACUACAGGCACGUGUCAUUACACCCAGACAGGGUAUCACUCUGUUGCCCAGGUUGGAUUCCAGUGGCAUGAUCAUGGCUCAGUGCAGUCUCGACUUCUGGGGUUCAAGCGAUUCCCCCAUCUCAGCCUCCUCAGUGGCUAGGAUCACAGGUAUACACCACCAUACCCAGAGUCAUGCAGGGUGAGCCAUUCUUGCCACUGAGAAGUAUGUCAUAUCUGAGAACAACUGACCCAGAUAAUUGCUCAGUAAGAGUAUAUUUGAGAUUAUUGAAGACUUAAAAGCAUCUCAUUAUUAAAUGUGCUAUAUCAUGUUUUUCACUUUAGGCUCCAAGUGUUUUUGACUUGAUAAAGUUUUGUUGUGUUAAUUUUGAUCACUUUAAUCUUUUAUUGGAUCAUUUUCCCACAUUAAAUUUAAAUAGGAAGAACAUAUGUACUGCUGUUUUGCCAUAAACUCUGAUGUGCCUCAACUGGCUUCCAACUUCAGUCUGUUCUGGAAGGCUGUACUUACAGGUCUCAGCCAGCAAGCUGAAACUGACAAAGGAGCGUUCCACUUCUCUGCUGUAAAAGUUGUACUUACCUUGUUUUCAUGAAACCAAUCUCCGUUUCCAAGGAAACAAGAACAAAAAGGCAGUUGGCAGCUAGCAUCUGGGACUUAGAAGAACUCUCACAUGUCAAUUUCAACUGCUGGCUGCCGGCUCAAACGUAAAGAUGUGGGGUAUUAAAAUCACCUUCAGACUUGUAACGUACAAAAGAAUAUUAAGGUUUUUUCCUUAGUGUUUAAAUAAUCAAGUUUAAUAGCAAACCAUUUAAAAUAUCCUUUGAAAUACUAUAACAAAUAUUAUAAUUGUUAAAAAUUAUCUAAUACAAAAACUUGUUUUAUUUAAAAACAGUAGGCACAUAUAUUGCAGAUAUUUUCUCAGUUUUACACCAUAAAUUUUUGCCACUUUUCCCCUUUUACUUAAUCAUUUCACUUUCUCCUUUUUAAAUAAUGAUUCAUAUGGUCCCAACUACUUACUCCUUUCUCUUUUCUUUUUUUUUUUUUUUUUUUUUUGAUUCAUGCAAAAUAUCCAGAUAGUGUCUGUUUUAUCCGUAAAGCUUUGUGGCCAUGUUUAGUGUUUUAAUAAAGUGUUUUAAUGAUGAAACAUGAAAAUGCACAUUGUCAUUUUUCUCUUAAAAAUAUAAUUUCAUGAUUCUAGGCUUGGACACCUACAUUAACACAACCUGCU
Molecule: long non-coding RNA, 1953 nt
Filed under: Homo sapiens (human)
Lineage: Eukaryota; Metazoa; Chordata; Mammalia; Primates; Hominidae
Description: HSALNT0091434
Source: RNAcentral